CCAUCCCCCAAGGUGAGCUGAAUCGGCUUGACUUUGACAAAAAUGGAGGAAACCCACCACCCAUAGACAGAGAGCAGGAAAGCCAUCCCCCAGCGUGAGAGUUGGAGGAGUGGGCCUUGACGAGACUUGUGCAGUGUUCCAAAGAGCAAGAUAAGACCCACCAUCCCCCAAGUGAGUGUUGGAUGACCAGUGGCUCGCUUUCUCUUGAGAGUGAGGGGAAUCGGCUUGACUCUACAAAAAGAGGACAGACCCACCAUCCCCCAAGUGAGUGUUGGAACCACCAGUGACUCUUUGCCUUUUCUCUCUUUCUCUUUCUUCUCUCUCCUUCUUACAGGGUGAGCUGAAUCGGCUUGACUUUGACAAAAAUGGAGGAAACCCACCACCCCUAGACAGAGAGCAGGAAAGCCAUCCCCCAGCGUGAGAGUUGGAGGAGUGGGCCUCGACGAGUCUUGUGCACUGUUCCAAAGAGCAAGAUAAGACCCACCAUCCCCCAAGUGAGUGUUGAUGACCAGUGGCUCGCUUUCUCUAGAGAGUGAGGGGAAUCGGCUUGACUUUGACAAAAAUGGAGGAAACCCACCACCCAUAGACAGAGAGCAGGAAAGCCAUCCCCCAGCGUGAGAGUUGGAGGAGUGGGCCUCGACGAGUCUUGUGCACUGUUCCAAAGAGCAAGAUAAGACCCACCAUCCCCCAAGGUGAGCUGAAUCGGCUUGACUUUGACAAAAAUGAAGGAAACCCACCACCCCUAGACAGAGAGCAGGAAAGCCAUCCCCCAGCGUGAGAGUUGGAGGAGUGGGCCUCGACGAGGCUUGUGCAGUGUUCCAAAGAGCAAGAUAAGACCCACCAUCCCCCAAGGUGAGCUGAAUCGGCUUGACUUUGACAAAAAUGGAGGAAACCCACCACCCCUAGACAGAGAGCAGGAAAGCCAUCCCCCAGCGUGAGAGUUGGAGGACUGGGCCUUGACGAGGCUUGUGCAGUGUUCCAAAGAGCAAGAUAAAACCCAGACCAGCGAAGUGUUGGAUGACCAGUGGCUCGCUUUCUCUUGAGAGUGAGGUGAAUCGGCUUGACUCUACAAAAAGAGGACAGACCCACCACCACCCCCAGUCAG
This is a non-coding RNA of Danio rerio (zebrafish), 1105 nucleotides long. Lineage: Eukaryota; Metazoa; Chordata; Actinopteri; Cypriniformes; Danionidae. The record is from RefSeq and is a predicted model, not a curated record.